CAUCUACUCCCUCCAUCCCGAAUUAUUUGUCGUAGAAAUGGAUGUAUCUAGAAUUAAAAAAAUUCUAGAUACAUACAUUUCUACGACAAGUAAUUCCGAAUGGAGGGAGUAGUAU
Molecule: non-coding RNA, 115 nt
Organism: Triticum aestivum (bread wheat)
Lineage: Eukaryota; Viridiplantae; Streptophyta; Magnoliopsida; Poales; Poaceae
Source: Rfam